AGCGAACGCUGGCGGCAGGCUUAACACAUGCAAGUCGAGCGGGCAUCUUCGGAUGUCAGCGGCAGACGGGUGAGUAACACGUGGGAACGUACCCUUCGGUUCGGAACAACUCUGGGAAACUGGAGCUAAUACCGGAUACGCCCUUAUGGGGAAAGGUUUACUGCCGAAGGAUCGGCCCGCGUCUGAUUAGCUAGUUGGUGGGGUAACGGCCUACCAAGGCGACGAUCAGUAGCUGGUCUGAGAGGAUGAUCAGCCACACUGGGACUGAGACACGGCCCAGACUCCUACGGGAGGCAGCAGUGGGGAAUAUUGGACGAUGGGCGCAAGCCUGAUCCAGCCAUGCCGCGUGAGUGAUGAAGGCCUUAGGGUUGUAAAGCUCUUUUGUCCGGGACGAUAAUGACGGUACCGGAAGAAUAAGCCCCGGCUAACUUCGUG
RNAcentral lists this ribosomal RNA (435 nucleotides) under uncultured bacterium. RNAcentral's name for it is "partial 16S ribosomal RNA". It matches the Rfam family "Bacterial small subunit ribosomal RNA", at positions 29 to 507 of the family's 1533-position model. The record is from RNAcentral.